AGUGAACGCUGGCGGUAGGCCUAACACAUGCAAGUCGAACGGCAGCACAGUAAGAGCUUGCUCUUACGGGUGGCGAGUGGCGGACGGGUGAGGAAUACAUCGGAAUCUACUUUUUCGUGGGGGAUAACGUAGGGAAACUUACGCUAAUACCGCAUAUGACCUACGGGUGAAAGCAGGGGAUCUUCGGACCUUGCGCGAUUGAAUGAGCCGAUGUCGGAUUAGCUAGUUGGCGGGGUAAAGGCCCACCAAGGCGACGAUCCGUAGCUGGUCUGAGAGGAUGAUCAGCCACACUGGAACUGAGACACGGUCCAGACUCCUACGGGAGGCAGCAGUGGGGAAUAUUGGACAAUGGGCGCAAGCCUGAUCCAGCCAUACCGCGUGGGUGAAGAAGGCCUUCGGGUUGUAAAGCCCUUUCGUUGGGAAAGAAAAGCAGCAGGUUAAUACCCCGCUGUUCUGACGGUACCCAAAGAAUAAGCACCGGCUAACUUCGUG
RNAcentral lists this ribosomal RNA (492 nucleotides) under uncultured bacterium. RNAcentral's name for it is "partial 16S ribosomal RNA". It matches the Rfam family "Bacterial small subunit ribosomal RNA", at positions 29 to 507 of the family's 1533-position model. The record is from RNAcentral.